UCGCUCCCGUGGCCCAGAGGUUAGAGCGUCCACCUUAAAUGCGGGAGGUCGUGGGUUCGAAGCCCGGUCGAGUCAU
Non-coding RNA from Potamilus streckersoni, 76 nucleotides. Lineage: Eukaryota; Metazoa; Mollusca; Bivalvia; Unionida; Unionidae. The record is from the annotation of a GenBank genome assembly.